GAUCCAUCCUGGCGAUCUGAGUAUAAAUAGUGCCCACUUUGAGUUUUCACUGCCAUAUCGUUACUGCAACUUGGAACAAACCGCGAUGAUGUUUAAACCUACUAUACUGACGUUGGGGCUGCUCUUGUGUGCUUUCCUGGCAUACGCCUCUGCCCGGCCCGAUUCACUGCCGCCACCACAUGUGUUGGGAGGUCUUUUACUAUCAAAACUUAUCGAAUAGGCAAAUCGGAAUAAAUUCCUUCAAAAGC
Molecule: long non-coding RNA, 248 nt
Organism: Ostrinia furnacalis (Asian corn borer)
Lineage: Eukaryota; Metazoa; Arthropoda; Insecta; Lepidoptera; Crambidae
Exons: 2
Source: RefSeq, a predicted model, not a curated record